This 240-nucleotide unclassified non-coding RNA is filed under the name soil metagenome. RNAcentral's name for it is "partial contains 5.8S ribosomal RNA, internal transcribed spacer 2, and large subunit ribosomal RNA". The record is from RNAcentral.
AACAUCGCGCACCUGCGGGAACCUGCGGAAGGAUCAUUACCGAGUUAGGGUCUUUUAGGCCCGACCUCCAACCCUUUGUUAACUAUACCAUGUUGCUUUGGUGGGCCCGCCUUUAGGGGCCGCCGGGGACUGAUGCCCCUGGUCAGUGCCUGCCAGUAGCCUUCUCAAAUUCUUUUAUAAUUGUUGUCUGAGUAUAGAUAUAAAUCGUUAAAACUUUUAACAACGGAUCUCAGAUCGGAA